Molecule: non-coding RNA, 90 nt
Filed under: Limosilactobacillus frumenti
Lineage: Bacteria; Bacillati; Bacillota; Bacilli; Lactobacillales; Lactobacillaceae
Also listed under: 1 other name
Description: Lactobacillus frumenti TPP sequence
Rfam family: TPP riboswitch aptamer (THI element)
About the family: Vitamin B(1) in its active form thiamin pyrophosphate (TPP) is an essential coenzyme that is synthesised by coupling of pyrimidine and thiazole moieties in bacteria. The previously detected thiamin-regulatory element, thi box was extended, resulting in a new, highly conserved RNA secondary structure, the THI element, which is widely distributed in eubacteria and also occurs in some archaea. Analysis of operon structures identified a large number of new candidate thiamin-regulated genes, mostly transporters, in various prokaryotic organisms.
Source: RNAcentral
UAUUAGCACUAGGGGUGCCCACUGCGGCUGAGAUUAUACCCUUGAACCUGUUAAGUUAAUACUUGCGAAGGAAAGUUGCAUUCAUGUUAC